AAACACUACCCAGAUAUAUUAUGGUCCAACAUUACAUCCCAAUAGCCUCUCCACUUACUGUUAAAUUAAUUGGCCUCGGGCCCCUAACAGCCUGCUUUUACAUCUAUUUAUACAUGAAAUAAAUCCCACAUAGUUAUUCAUCUAAAUCUCGUCAUUUUAUACUUCUUAGUUCCAUUUUGCAACCAUGUCAACUCCCAAUAUUGGCAUUGCUGAAUUGUACGUAAUGAAAAAGAUGAUCAAGGAGAAGAAAAUGCCGAAAAGCUUGGGGAAGAAAGAGAGUUCUGACUCGGGCUCGGGUUCCCGUGGCCACAGCUUCUGCCGGGGGUUUCGCAGAAUUCACCCUGCAGCUGGUGUUCUCCCAUUGCACCGUCCCUGAAAAUUAAGAUAGCCCAGAAUAUAUAUAUAUAUAUAUAUGCAUGGUUUAUACUGUGACUUCGUGACUCCUAUUACACCAGUUUCUUUUGAUUUUUAUAUUUUGCGAAAUUUUCUAUAUAAUUUAUUUUCCUCGUGUGAAAAUGUUUGAACUUCGUCCAGUUUCGUCUAGUACUACUUUUAUCGACUUCAAAAAACGAGUUUCACUGUAUAUGAGCCAAUGGAACUUCACAUAAGGCGACUUCUAAACUUUCAAGAUGUAAUAGUCACAGAAUAAUUUGUCGGCAAAGUUGCUUGAACCUUGACAUCAGGCCGCACUACAAUACCAUUUAUUUUUGCCUAAUUAUGGGUACAAUGAAUCGUACGUUAAAUUAAAUCUUAAAUAGCAAAAAUAUGAAAAUAGAAACCUUAUUUGAUCCAGUCGAAUUGGAUCCAACCAAGUCCUAGUCAUUGCGUUGCAGUCUCGUUUCUCGACUUCGCUUGUGUGAUUUGGACUUAUGAUUGGUUUCAUUCAUCCCCCAACACUAAUGAGUGCACUACGAAG
This 916-nucleotide long non-coding RNA is filed under the name Olea europaea (common olive). RNAcentral describes it as "long non-coding RNA (OEUR_LNC002644)". The record is from RNAcentral. Lineage: Eukaryota; Viridiplantae; Streptophyta; Magnoliopsida; Lamiales; Oleaceae.